GAGGGGAGGUUUAACCAACAACAACUGCUAAUUCUUGCAUCUGAGUCUAAAACCUCAGCCCCCUUC
This 66-nucleotide transfer RNA is filed under the name Hirundo rustica transitiva (Levant barn swallow). Its description in RNAcentral is "tRNA-Ser". Lineage: Eukaryota; Metazoa; Chordata; Aves; Passeriformes; Hirundinidae. The record is from RNAcentral.